UGGGGAAUAUUGCACAAUGGAGGGAACUCUGAUGCAGCGACGCCGCGUGAGUGAUGAAGGAAUUCGUUUCGUAAAACUCUGUUCUAUGGGAAGAAAAGGACUGUACCAUAGGAGAAAGCUCCGGCUAAAUACGUGCCAGCAGCCGCGGUAAUACGUAUGGAGCGAGCGUUGUCUGGAAUUAUUGGGCGUAAAGGGUGCGCAGGCGGCUUUACAAGUUGGAUGUGAAAUAUUGUGGCUCAACCACAAACGUGCAUCCAAAACUGCAAAGCUUGAGUUAAGGAGAGGUAAGUGGAAUUCCUGGUGUAGCGGUGGAAUGCGUAGAUAUCAGGAGGAAUACCGGUGGCGAAGGCGACUUACUGGACUUAAACUGACGCUCAGGCACGAAAGCGUGGGGAGCAAACAGG
This 404-nucleotide ribosomal RNA is filed under the name Fusobacteriota bacterium. RNAcentral's name for it is "Fusobacteria bacterium partial 16S ribosomal RNA". It matches the Rfam family "Bacterial small subunit ribosomal RNA", at positions 355 to 776 of the family's 1533-position model. Lineage: Bacteria; Fusobacteriati; Fusobacteriota. The record is from RNAcentral.